AGUUAAUUUAAACCUGGGAGUUCACACGUUGGCUUAUCGGAGCCAUCUCCUUUCCCCGCUAAGCGCUUGCUCGGUGCAUCCCCGGCUGCUGCCGAUCCGAUGUGAGCCCCUUUGAAGCCGUGAUGUGCUGCCAGCAGGCGAGGCAGCCUGCUCCCUGCCUGCCUGCUGCCUGCUGGCAGCAGCUUGCCCGAAUGCUGGAAGGAGAAGGCAGCUCCGAUGCUGCUGCAGCUUCCCCGGCUGCCAGGGGAAGUAAUAGAAUCACCCAGGUUGGAAAAGAUCACCUGUAAGAUCAUCGAGUCAGUGCCUCCACAGGUCACGUCUCCUGCUGUCACCUCCUGCUGCCAGGUCACCUCCUGUGCCUGCUCCCUGUCCCUGGAAGCCCGGCAGUCACCUCGCUCAGUGGAUGCCCCUGUCUGAUGAUUUUGCUGCAGGCGUACGAGCUGCGCGUAUCAAAGCUGAGCCACCUCUUAUCUCCUGGCUGUUCCUGCCUGCUCCCAGCCCGUGAAUCCUGGCUGCAGGGUGUUUGCACUGCUUCCCCAGCACUGUGGGCUGUGGUGGACUUGGGGUGCCAGAUUCAGGGUGAGGGGCACCUCGGGGCAGGUCUCUGGGGUGCAGGUUGGAAGGGCCAGCACAGACAGCCCUGUCUGCCAGGAGGAUGCUGGUCAUUGCUGUAAGGUCAACCUUAAAUAAUGGGAAUAAUAAAAAUAAGGCUGCCUGCAGGAAAGGAGAGAGCAAACUGAAUCCUAAUGAGGUUGCACGGACACAUCAGCAUGACCAUUCACAGAAAUCAUUUUUAAAAGGGAAAAAAAGCAUCGAGUUUAGAUCAAAGGAUUUGAGACACAGCAGCCAGGGCACAAUCCCACAAGGGCACCCUGGGAGAGGACAUCCCUGCUGAGAUCCCACAUCCAUGAGCUGCUCCUGCCCUGUUGGGAAGGUCCAGGGCAACCCUUGACUACAGAGGGUGUGGGAAAAGAGCCCAAAGGACUGAGGGUGACGCUGCUUCAUUCAGGAUGGGAACUGGUAUCUCGUGACCAGCUUUACUGCGACUGGGUGCAGCGCCUGGUGUGAAGGGGCAGAGCAUUUUCUUUUAUGGAUGGCCAAAAUUUACCAAGUUGUAGUGGCAAACACUGAAAGAGGAAGUUUUAGAAGGGAAAUUAAACAUUAAUAUUUCAGGGCUUAAGGCAAUCCUCAGUGCAAAGGCAGGAAAGUAAUUAGUGUUGUAGAUGGGGAAAUAACCAGCAUAAAUGGAAGUGGGGCGAGCGCAGGUUCACAGGGCCGAAAGGAGAAGGAUGGGCAAGGACUCCUCAGGAGAUGGCAAGGAAUGAGCCUGGGGGCCUCCAGGAAUCCCCCCCAGCAGCACUGUAUUUCAGGGGCGCUGUGCCUGCAAUAAUCCAGCCCUCCUCCUCCUCCUCCUCCUGCUCCUUGCCUUGGCUCUGCUGGCCAGCGGCCAGGUGAAACGCUCCCCCGAGCACAGCGGGGACUGGUCCAACCCCGCACAGCUCCAAUUAUCCCUGGCUGGAGACUUUCCAGGAAUCCCAUCCCCUCUCCCUCCACCGACCCUGCCUCCCCCAGCCUCCCCCCCUCAAAGCAAUUUGACUUUUAUAGUAAUAACUUCUGAACCCUGGACUGGGGCCGUGCCAAGGAAAGCAGCAGAAAACAAUGUGAUGGGCCUCGGCAGGCGCGGAAACUCCAGCGACCGAGACCAGCCCUAAAAUAACUUUUGAGCGAUGGUUAUUUAUUCUGGGAGAAAGUUCGUUCAUUCACAAUUUGGAGGGGAGAUAAAUGAGUGCGGGCUGGGGCUGCACACAGGCCGUGGCUGCGGAUGCAGGGCGCCUGCAGCGCCAGGACAGCCGCUCACCAUGGCCCUCCUGCCCGUGUCCUGCUGGAAAACCCUUUUCAAAGGUGUUUGGGUUCAUCUGAAAGCCCUGGCUCAGGUGGAGGAGUCCAGCUCGAGGCUGGGGGUCUGCAUGUGCCACCAUGUGCAGCGGGCUGAACUUUGUGUAUUUGUGCCUGCACACAUUUCAGCUUCCCUGGGCAUGCUGUUCAUUAUGGUGGCUGUGCCCCACGCCACUGGGGCACACCUGCACCUGGGCUCUGCACACUGAAGCCAUCGUUGUCCAGUGGGCAGCAUGUGGUACAGGCAAACUCCAGGCAGGAACAGACAGCAUCCUGCUGCCAGUUCUGUGGAGUAUCAGUGUGUGCACAGCAGCUGUCAGCCAACAUCAGCGGGGCAAGCAACAAGUGGUGUCACCUCAGUAAUUCUGCAGCUCUGAGCUGCCACAGCUUCCCUGCAGUGCACAGGAGCUGAAUCAGAGCUCCCAGAGGAGCCUUGAGCAACCUGGGCAAGCCUGGGUGCUUCUGAACUGGGGACAGUCCAAAGGAGGCAGCCAGCCAGCCCUCAGCACUGCCACACAAGUGUUUUAUGGUCCCUGUCACCACGGGCUGGGCACUCAGCAGGAUCUGGAGUACAAUGGUGACUCUGCCAGACAAGACUCAGGCUGCCUGUGUUAUCCUCAGGGUGGAUGGCUGGGCUCCCUUGGCAGGUUUGGAGAAUAAAUGGUGGGGAGUCCUGGGCUGUCCUGCUGGGUGACAGAGGUGACAGAGGUGACAGAGACCUCACAGCAUGGCUCUGUGGGCAGCUGGGUAGGAGAGGGACAGACAGCGACUUGUCUGGGUAUGAGGGCCUUACCAGCUUUGUAUGCAGAUCAUCUCCAAGAAUGAUACACAUUUAAGACUGCCUGCCCACGAACACCUCAGGGGCAAGGCACCAUGCCACAGUGACAGGGAACAGCAUUGCCAUCAUCACCUCCCCUGCACAUCAGAUCUUGGAGAGUGCACUGUUCUGGACUGAGAAGACACCACCACAUCCCCUUCCACAAAGAGAACAACUGCCCUUGCCUCGGGCACCCCUCUCCUCCUACUGCUUCCAGGCUGGGGGACCUUGCUGAGGCCACCAAAUAUUUUUGCUUUGGAAUGGCAUGGGGACACAUUGGAGUUUGGGACCUAGAGCUGCAAAAGAGAAUGAAUCAGUGCUGCCCUUUGCAGAGUGAGGAGGGCACCACUUUGUGUUUAGCAGCACAGUCACUGGCACUGGAUGAACUGUCACCCAGCUGCCCUUGCAUGGGGACAGCAGGGCAAAUGCAGGGUCACACACGGGGCAGGAGCAGCCCUUGGCCGUGCUGGCCAGCACACACAGCUUCCUUCAUGGCACCGUGCCCGUGACUGUGGGACUGGCCCUGCUGGGCCACAUCCCUCAUCCUGCCAGGCAGGAAAGGCUCCAGCCCCCUGCUCCUGCUCACCUCUCCACAUCCCCUGCCCUCUGCCCCGCCACUGCCGUGGACAGCCCCGUGCUUGCCAGAUGACUUCCAGCCUCGCUGCUCUUCGGGCUGUCUGAGCAGCUCGUGAUCUUGGCAGGCAGCUCAGAGUCUUACCAGUCAUCAUUACAACGAUUAUUUGUGUCUUCCCAGCUCAAAAGGGCUUUCCUCUUACCUCGCCCCUGGCUGGCCUCGAGCCAGGUGGGACUGUGGAUGGAGAAAGGGGAGAGGGCAGCAUCCUGCACUGUCAGAGCAGGGGACUGCAGUGGCAUGCAGGAGAUGGGACAGAGGGAAGGACAGAUCUUGUCCCUCCUCCUGAAUGCUCAGAUUGGAAAUCAACACCCUCUUGGUUAAUUCAUUAGCUUUGAUUAGCAGCUCUGAAGCUCGGACCAGCUAAUGGGCUCCCUCCCUCUGGUUAAUCUCCAAGAGGAGCUCAGCAAGGUUAUCUGAACCAGGAAUGGCAAGGGAAGGAUGGGGAUGAAUGCAAUUGAAUUAGGAAGCUGUUAAAUGAAGAAGCCAAACUGAGCCAAAACACAGCCAUUCUAAAAUGUCCCCAUGGCUAAAACAUGGGGUAGAGCCUCAUUAAAGCAUGGGGCAGAACAAAGCAUUAUGGUUACACUCAUCUGGGUUGGGGCUGGGGCAGCGAGUCCCUGUGGACACCAGCCCAGCCUGGGGCUUGGGGUCAUGUUUGCCAGCUGCAUCCCACACAGAUCCCUUCACCAACACCUUCAUUUCCCUUCGUGGGCAGAAUCUUCCUCCAAGUGGGGGUUCCUCUGCAGCCUGGAUUUUGCUGUUGAUUAAAUUAGCUCAGCAGUAACCUAUUUGUGAUGAUGAUGUGAGGUAGCAACCUUCAGUGUUUUCAUUAAAAUAUACAUGUAUAUAUUUGUUUUCUGUGGUUAUGAAUGUAAUUCCACAAUCCACCGAGGAGCCGGUAAUUUUCUGGCUGAGGUGGGAAGUUGCUGACAUCUUGUGAUACAUGACAAGAUUGAUUGUAUUUGC
Molecule: long non-coding RNA, 4313 nt
Organism: Zonotrichia albicollis (white-throated sparrow)
Lineage: Eukaryota; Metazoa; Chordata; Aves; Passeriformes; Passerellidae
Source: RefSeq, a predicted model, not a curated record